This 484-nucleotide ribosomal RNA is filed under the name uncultured bacterium. RNAcentral's name for it is "partial 16S ribosomal RNA". It matches the Rfam family "Bacterial small subunit ribosomal RNA", at positions 30 to 507 of the family's 1533-position model. The record is from RNAcentral.
AUUGAACGCUGGCGGCAGGCCUAACACAUGCAAGUCGAGCGGAUGAAGGGAGCUUGCUCCUGGAUUCAGCGGCGGACGGGUGAGUAAUGCCUAGGAAUCUGCCUGGUAGUGGGGGAUAACGUCCGGAAACGGGCGCUAAUACCGCAUACGUCCUGAGGGAGAAAGUGGGGGAUCUUCGGACCUCACGCUAUCAGAUGAGCCUAGGUCUGAUUAGCCAGUUGGUGGGGUAAAGGCCUACCAAGGCGACGAUCCGUAACUGGUCUGAGAGGAUGAUCAGUCACACUGGAACUGAGACACGGUCCAGACUCUUAUGGGAGGCAGCAGUGGGGAAUAUUGGACAAUGGGCGAAAGCCUGAUGCAGCCAUGCCGCGUGUGUGAAGAAGGUCUUCGGAUUGUAAAGCACUUUAAGUUGGGAGGAAGGGCAGUAAGUUAAUACCUUGCUGUUUUGACGUUACCAACAGAAUAAGCACCGGCUAACUUCGUG